This 372-nucleotide unclassified non-coding RNA is filed under the name uncultured Gammaproteobacteria bacterium. Its description in RNAcentral is "contains 16S-23S intergenic spacer region". The record is from RNAcentral. Lineage: Bacteria; Pseudomonadati; Pseudomonadota; Gammaproteobacteria.
UCCGGUUUGUCACCGGCAGUCUCAUUAGAGUGCUCUUGCGUAGCAACUAAUGACAAGGGUUGCGCUCGUUGCGGGACUUAACCCAACAUCUCACGACACGAGCUGACGACAGCCAUGCAGCACCUGUGUGCAGAUUCUCUUUCGAGCACCCUCCAAUCUCUCGGAGGUUUCUGCCAUGUCAAGGGUAGGUAAGGUUUUUCGCGUUGCAUCGAAUUAAUCCACAUCAUCCACCGCUUGUGCGGGUCCCCGUCAAUUCCUUUGAGUUUUAAUCUUGCGACCGUACUCCCCAGGCGGUCUACUUCACGCGUUAGCUGCGUUACCAAGUCAAUUAAGACCCGACAACUAGUAGACAUCGUUUAGGGCGUGGACUAC